This 387-nucleotide ribosomal RNA is filed under the name uncultured bacterium. Its description in RNAcentral is "bacterial SSU rRNA". It matches the Rfam family "Bacterial small subunit ribosomal RNA", at positions 28 to 417 of the family's 1533-position model. The record is from RNAcentral.
GACGAACGCUGGCGGCGUGCUUAACACAUGCAAGUCGAGCGGUAAGGCCCUUUCGGGGGUACACGAGCGGCGAACGGGUGAGUAACACGUGGGUGACCUGCCUUUAGCUCUGGGAUAAGCCUGGGAAACUGGGUCUAAUACCGGAUACGACUCCGCGGUGCAUGCUGUGGGGUGGAAAGCCUUGUGCGGCUGGAGAUGGGCCCGCGGCCUAUCAGCUUGUUGGUGGGGUGAUGGCCUACCAAGGCGACGACGGGUAGCCGGCCUGAGAGGGCGACCGGCCACACUGGGACUGAGACACGGCCCAGACUCCUACGGGAGGCAGCAGUGGGAAUCUUGCGCAAUGGGCGAAAGCCUGACGCAGCGACGCCGCGUGAGGGAUGACGGCCU